RNAcentral lists this long non-coding RNA (264 nucleotides) under Elaeis guineensis (African oil palm). Its description in RNAcentral is "long non-coding RNA (EGUI_LNC045948)". Lineage: Eukaryota; Viridiplantae; Streptophyta; Magnoliopsida; Arecales; Arecaceae. The record is from RNAcentral.
UUUCUUGAUUCUCUUCUCAAAGAAAUCCAGCAACCCCCUUUCGCUCUCUUUCUUUUUGGUGAGUGUCCAACUCUUGGGCGUGGACCUAACAACUUGAGCAUCCCAACCACUUGGGGCAUGAGGUACGUAGGUGAGAAAGAGAUGGUCGUGAAACAAUAGGAGGCAUGAAGGAUAAGAGAGGCACCCUCCUUGUGCGUGAAACCCCCUUUUCACAUUAUUCUCUUGUGACGCCCAUCUCUUGGGCAUGAAAGAUUUGGGGCAGGG